Molecule: ribosomal RNA, 446 nt
Filed under: uncultured bacterium
Lineage: Bacteria
Description: SSU rRNA
Rfam family: Bacterial small subunit ribosomal RNA
Source: RNAcentral
AGAACGAACGCUGGCGGCAGGCCUAACACAUGCAAGUCGAGCGCCCCGCAAGGGGAGCGGCGCACGGGUGAGUAACGCGUGGGAACAUGCCCAGAGGUCGGGAAUAACGGCGGGAAACUGCCGCUAAUACCCGGUAAGCCUUGAGAGGGAAAGGAGCAAUCCGCCUUUGGAGUGGCCCGCGUUGGAUUAGCUAGUUGGUGGGGUAAAAGCCUACCAAGGCUACGAUCCAUAGCUGGUCUGAGAGGAUGAUCAGCCACACUGGGACUGAGACACGGCCCAGACUCCUACGGGAGGCAGCAGCAAGGAAUUUCGUCAAUGGGCGCAAGCCUGAACGAGCAACGCCGCGUGGAGGAUGACGGCCUUCGGGUUGUAAACUCCUUUUGCGGGGGACGAGUGAUGACGGUACCCCGCGAAUAAGGCUCGGCUAACUCUGUGCCAGCAGCCGC